CCUACGGGGAGCAGCAGUAGGGAAUUUUUCACAAUGGGCGAAAGCCUGAUGGAGCAACGCCGCGUGCAGGAUGAAGGCCUUCGGGUUGUAAACUGCUUUUAUAAGCGAGAAAUAUGAUGGUAACUUAUGAAUAAGGAUCGGCUAACUACGUGCCAGCAGCCGCGGUCAUACGUAGGAUCCGAGCAUUAUCCGGAGUGACUGGGUGUAAAGAGUUGCGUAGGUGGCAUAAUAAGUAGCUAGUGAAUUCUGGUGGCUCAACCAUUCAGACUAUUAGCUAAACUGUUAAGCUCGAGAACGUUAGGGGUAACUGGAAUUUCUAGUGUAGGAGUGAAAUCCGUAGAUAUUAGAAGGAACACCAAUAGCGUAGGCAGGUUACUGGGACGGUUCUGACACUAAGGCACGAAAGCGUAGGGAGCAAACGGGAUUAGAUACCCUGGUAGUC
This 442-nucleotide ribosomal RNA is filed under the name uncultured bacterium. Its description in RNAcentral is "partial 16S ribosomal RNA". It matches the Rfam family "Bacterial small subunit ribosomal RNA", at positions 338 to 795 of the family's 1533-position model. The record is from RNAcentral.